Ailuropoda melanoleuca (giant panda) is the source of this 8567-nucleotide long non-coding RNA. RefSeq lists it as uncharacterized. Lineage: Eukaryota; Metazoa; Chordata; Mammalia; Carnivora; Ursidae. The record is from RefSeq and is a predicted model, not a curated record. The transcript has 9 exons.
AGAAGCAGGCUCAUAGCGGAGGAGCCUGAUGUGGGGCUCGAUCCCAUAACGCCGGGAUCACGCCCUGAGCCGAAGGCAGACGCUUAACCGCUGUGCCACCCAGGCGCCCCAAUAAAUGUUUUUUUGAAUGGUCACUGGCCUUGGUAAGUCCUAUACCGUCUCUGUGUUUCAGCUUCCUCACUGCAAAAAGGUGAUAGGUCUGCCUGCCCCACGUUGGGAGAUUACGUGAGAUAAUAUGAAUGCAAUGCCCUGCGCGGUGCCCGGCGCCCAGUAGUGCUCAAUUAAAAGUCACUUCCCUCACCACCAUUAUCCUCCUGCCACAAUUUUAAGUAAAAGGGAAAAGAAUGCCUAGUGCCCUUUGCUUAACACCGUUUCCUCUACUGAGGGGGAGCUAUUGGAGAAUAUGAGGCCAGGUCUGUAUUAUUCAUUGCUUAGUCUUUUGCGUAUGGUGGUGCUUAAUCAAUAUUUUUAGGAUAAAUGAGUAACCGUUAUACAUGCUUAUCUGAUCCUGAGUUUGUGCCUUCAAUGAACUUAAUGUUUUGUUUCCUUUUCCCAUCAAAAAAAAUCACCAGCUUCAAUUUAUUUAGUAUGCAUUGUUUCCCAUUGCAAACCAGCCAAGGCUGGGGGAAGAAGGGAGGCUGGGCUGCUGGACCAGCCACCCCGCCAGGCAGUCCAAGCCUUUGCUGGCCACACUGUAGCCCUGGGGCAGGGGCAGGGGAGGGGGAGGUGAGCCCUGGGGAGGGGCACUGACACUGGGGCACCUGCUGUCUGGUUUGGCACACCUGCUCGCUCGUCUACUUCCCCUAACAGCCCUGGGAGGAGGCACUGUCCUCCUUCUGUAUCGGGCAGGGUCCCAGAAGGGACAGAUUAACAUGCUCCGGCUGGGUAAUGGAGGAGAGUUCAAUAAAAGGAAUUUAAUAAAAGGGUGUGCAGGUUUAAGAAAGUCAGCAGGGACUAGUGUAGUACUCCAGGGCUAGUAAGGGCAGGGAGUCCUUAUCCCCCCUGAAGAGAUAAGAGGAGUGGCCACCCACAGUAACCCAGGAGGGAGGGAGCCAGGGCCAUAAAUACCUGGGGCCACACUUUCCUUCUGCCUGGGGGGGAAGGGGCUGGUCCCCAGUGCCAAACGCACCCCAGGCGGUCUGAGCGGGGAGCUUUCCAGGCCAUGGGCAGGAUGAAAAGAGUCAGGAGUGACCAGCGUAACUGGGUUAGACAGCACUCGGUGAGGCAACCCUGGCACCCCAGUGUUUGACCUACCUGCUCUGCUCCGCGGCCACUGCCGCUGGGCCUCCAUCUCUCUGGCCUCAGCGCCGGCUAGCCCCGCUUCCAGUCUCACCGUUGAAACCAGGGCAGACUGCCGCGCUCUGGGCUGCCCUGGAAGCUUCCGUGAGGACCCUAAGAGACAGUCACAAUUGCACGGGACAAAUGGGGAACUCCCAGAGAAGGAAGGCAGCCCAAUCUUCACAAACACAUACACAUACACACUCCGCCCAUGCUGUUCUGUGAACCCCCCAGGAGCCGACCUGUAACUUCACUCCACCAGUGUGGAGAUGUGUCUGUGAACCCGCCCUAGCACAGGCCCCCGUGACAGUUAAGGUCUUAGCUUGGGAAUCAGAUCGCCCAGGACUUGAAUCCUGACUCUACCACAAGCUAUGUGAAUUUGGGCCUCAUUUGUAAAAUGGAAAUUAUCAUAAUCAGUAGGAGUGUUGUUAGGGUUAAAUGCAGCAUGUGAUUUGCUUUGCACUUGCUAAACCUUAUCUCACACCCCAGCGUGGUGAUUUCUGCAGCUUAGCCCUACCAGAACUUUUGACCUGUUUGCUUACUCAUUCCAACUUUCAGAACCCUUUAAGAAUGGCUACUUCUACAACUAAGAAAAAGGAUGAUGAUAUCUGGUAGGGAUUUAUAGUUUUGAAGUACUUUCCCUUGGCUUAUCAAACAUGACUGUUACAACAGCCCAGUGGGAAUGGCUGCGCGAAUAUUACUCUCCCUCUUGUAAGGAUGGAGAAACUGACACCCAGAGAGACCAGGUGACUUGCUCUAGGUCACCCGCGGAGUAACCGGUGGAGUUCGGGGGGGGGGAGGGGCACCCCACAGAGGAGGCAGCAUGGACCAGCUGGCCUCUGCAGAGCAGGUUGGAGCUACAGCCCCGAGGGGCCCUCCGAGCUCCCACAUUACCCUGCAGCGGCCUUCGGGCUGUGGUGUGCUGGAUCGCUUAAUGGUAUGUGCUUCCCCAAAUUGUAAUAUGUCCUUGUUCACAGCAAAGAAUAUCUGAGGCACUUCCCCCAGCUAUGCCUGCGAGCAGGAGGUGGCAGGUGCGGGUGGUGGGGUUGGUGGGAGCCCCGCACCCUGCUGUCCAGGCUUCCAGGACACAGACUGACUCUCUCUCAGGCUUGGGCUUCCCGCGGGGUGUUCGCCCUGCCGGCUUCAGAGGGGCUUUCUCUGCAGUGGGGGGAUCCUCAGGAACUGACCCCAAGCCUCCACUUAUGGCAGGUGCACGUUUGACAACGACAAGCCCAUCUCUGAAAGCACAGCGUGCAUUAGCAUUCUCUCCUUUGGAGAGAGCUAUUUUUGUCUUUCAUCUUCAGAAACUGUGUUCCAAAAUAAAGGAGACAAGUCUCAGAAGGAGAACCAAUGACCAGUGUCUCCAGCUCAGAAGAGAGCAAGUCACUAUUUCCUCAACAACAAGGACAGUGACCAUCGCCCCGGCGGCGCUGGGGUGGGCGUCCCGCUGCCCUUGGGUACCGCACCUUGUCCUGCACCCGCUGUCAUCUCUCUGUGCAAUGCCUCUCCACACACUUCGGGGAACCGGUUUGUUGCCAUGGUUACCAGCAAAUCACAUGACAGCCUGGCUACCUAGCAGUGUGGGAGAACAGUGGAAUCAGAUGUGAUGGGGGAAGCAUCCCUCCCCCAGCUUGGUGGCUUUUCCUUGGCAGACCUGCACGGUCCCAGAGGUCCGCAUUUCUGACCUGCCCAGCUCUGGGGUUAAGGGCCAGCGUUCUUUGAGCGCCAGGACAUUGCUUUCAUAAUGAAAUCAGCACAGAGUCUUCCUCAAGGGCUUCUCCUUCUGGUUCAGGAGCCCCUCCGCCCUUCCCCAACCCCGCCUUUCCCUGACACCCCCCCCCCGCCACACACACGCAUGCACACGCACGGAUGCUGUGAUUAAAUAGCUGGGGUGAGUGGGAAGGGGUGGAGUAUGCAGCCUACACCACUUGAAUAAGCUCUUUUUAAAAAUCUGAGGAUGGCAUGAGUCAGGGAAUUUUGAAGCCAUGAUACAAUCAGGACACUGAUGCCUCAAGGGGGUGGAGGCAGGGACCACAGACUCGCCCAGAUCCUGGAGAGACCAGGCAGAGUCUGGGUUCCUGGGCACAGCCUUGCCGGGGGAGCUGCUGACCCUCAGACUUGGGGUCAUGGAAGUGGGUGUGCUCUGCCCAUCUCCGAUGUGGUAUGGUGGUCCUAGCCCCUGGGCACUGCCUUCCAGGGAAGAGCAGGUCUGAGAGCUGGAGAAAGCUCUCAAAAAACAGAGCUCUCUGCCUCUGCCCCGCCUCCCCCCCUUCCCUACAGAACCAGGCCACGGUAGCAGGAGUCUGUGCUCCGAGAGGUUGGGCGGCCAGCGGGUGCGCCUUAGCAGCCCCAGCGGGGACUAGAAGUGCAGGCCUUUGUCUCCCUGACAAUCACCAUUGCCUACUUCUCUGCGUUCAGAUUAUAUCUCAUCUUGUCAAUUCCAUCAGAUUUUCUGGUCUGCUUUGCUUUCCCCAUUGCAAAAGCAAAGUCCAGGUGAUGGCAACAGACCCGGCAGAGUCAGCAGGUCGCAGAGGGCAGGGCCUGGGAGGGAUUCUGCCCCAGCUCUACUAGGCUGGUGCCGAGGACUCGCUUCAGACCCCUGCCUUAACGAGCAAAAUGUAUUCAGGGAGAGGAAGCAAACAGCCUCAUAAGCAUAACCUUAUGGAGCACCACAGGGCAAGGGCCAAGAAGACCAGAGGUCUCCAAAAUGAAGGGGGGCGGGGAUGCAGCCUCUGGUGUGUGGCACUGGUACCAGUGGGGUACAAAAUACAGACCUUCUGUUUGGGUUAUUUUAUCGCUUCUUUUUUAUAUCUAUUUUGGUACAUAUCUUAUAAUGUGUAUGACGGUAUCAGGUAGGAUCAGUGUGGGCUGAGAUUAAGAAAGAAGAAAAAAAUCCAACCCCCCAGCGGCUAACCCAGGAGAGAAGUUAAUUUCUCUCGCUUGUAAAGGAACUGUGGAGGUAAGCCGCCCGGAGCCGGUAAGGCAUCUUUUCUGGUCACUCCAACAUUCUCAACAUGCAGCUUCCACUUCCUUAUUCAAGGCUGUUGGGCGUGGUCCAGCCAUCCUGUUCACAUUCUAGGCAGCAAGGAGAGAGAAAGGAAGGGUUACAUGCCCCUCCCACGAGGACACCUCCUGGCUGGGCCUUGGUGCUCCGUAAACGUGGAUCCAAUAAAUAAUAAGGUCUUGCUAAGCUUCAGAACAUAUCUAGUAGGCUUUUGGAGAAUCAAAUGAGGUAAUGUUUGAGGAGAGGUUUUGAAAACUACAAGCCAAUAUAUACACAGUGGUUAUAGUUAGCCCUCUUGUCAGGAAAGUCCCUUAUUUGGGGCAGGAAUGUGGCUGUUUCUGGUUCUGCCUUUUGGUGCCUUCCUCUGAGAAACAGUCCUCUGGGUCAUGUCACUCUUAGAAUCAGAGGGCAUCUUCAAGCCCACUCAGACACACCGCCUGGUGCCCUCCCACCACCCCCCCCAGGCAGGAUUCCCCUCCUCGAUGGCUUCACCAAGGGGUCGAUUGGUCAGUGACCCUCAUAACAACUGGGCAUCGUGAUUAAGAAUGACUCAACAGUGUAGGUUAGGGGACAAGUUCCAUGCCGCUCCCCAGAUAUAGCUAUGAGUUCUCCCCUCCUUGCUUCUGCACACAUUCUUCUCUCCCCCAUGGUCCAGAGUCCUCUUUCAAGGUUAGGCUCAAAGUCACCUGCUUGGUAGAAGUGUUCCAACUUUGGCAGAGGCAUUUAGGUGGUCUCUUCAUUUUCUGGCUGUGUCAUUUUGUACUUAACUCUAUUAUAAGACAUAUCAAAUUAUAUUUUUAUUUGUGCUUUUUUACAGACCCACUUUGUCACCCCCCGCCAAACCACUACCACCACCCUUUUAUGUGAGAUUUUCAAGGGCAGAGCUGUGUCUUACUCAUUUGAUUCUCCAGCACCUACCUCAGUGCCUGGCACCAGUUGAUAAUUUAAUGAGUGCUUAUUGAGAGGAUGAGUGAGUAAACACGUGAGCAGGGGGCUGAAAACUUGGUCUCUGGCAUGAGACAAACUCAUGUCCAAAUCCCAUUGACUAAUUAAACUCAUUCAUUCACACAUGCCAUUCAUUCAUUCAUUCAUUCAUUCAUUCAUUCGGAUUUGUACUGAGUACCUAUUAUAUUGCAGGCACCCUGCUCGACAUUGCCAGAGGACAACCGGGAGGGACAGAGUCCCUGCCUCACAAGCUUAUAUCUGAAUGGUAGAGAGUGACAAUAAACAAGCAAAUCAUCUCUGGACACCUCAUGUUCUGGCUGCAAACACACCAUCUGGCUUGCCAAGGACCUUCUUCAAAUGAGGCCCCUGAAACUGAACGUGGAACUUCAAGCAAGCUCUGGCAGAGCUGGGACUGUGCCCGAGACCCGGAGACCCAACACAGCCUUACAACUGGGUCAUAAAUGAGCAGCAGAGGCAAGUCUCCCACCCCACGAGGACAACCAGAUUCACCUGCAGCAUCCUGUGGUCUAGCAGGUGGGAGGAUCUUGCUUGUGUAUCAGCAGCAAAGAGGAGGAUUCUAGGAAUCUCAGAGGCAAAGGUUUUCUGCAGUUCACGUUUUUCCGAACCUGUGGUUUCUCCGAGCUGACCCUCAUGAUGGAAGUUAAUCAGAACCAAUCCGUGACUUGUCUUCUAUUCCACCCAAAGACCGAAGGGAUGGGCAAAUCAGAGUGGAAUUUUACCGGGAACCCGAACACUGGAGACUGGAAUCAGAGGAUGAUAAAGCCAAAGCGGCGUCAAGUUUAUUCUUAUGCUCGCCUUUCAAAUUACUGACUGGUUUUUAAAUUGACAGUUUCAACUUUGACUUCAGCCCAGCAGUCCUCCUAGGAGGGCAGAGAGCAGGGAAGAGGGAGCCUGGAAAGCUCCUGCCUCUACUUGUCAUUUCCUGACUGAUUCUGCCAUGAGGGUCAAUGGAGAGCUUAGACAUCCUCACAGAGCUGAUCUUCACCGAGAGCUCACUGAGUGCCAGGGAGCCUUCCAGACAUCAUCUCAUGUCAAGCUUCCCAGAAACUUGCAAGCACAAGAGGAAGCUAAAGGGGCAAGGAGCGUUUACAGAGGUGUCUUGCAGCCCCAGAUGUACCCCCAGACCAGCGGCCUCAGCAUCACGGGGGAGCUUGUUAGAAAUGCAGGCUCUCAGGCCCCGCCCCAGACCUACUGAAUCAAAACCUGCAUUUUAACAAGAUCCCAGGUGAUUUCAAUGCCUAUUAAAGUUUGAGAAGCCCGGGUCUGGGUCCGUGGUCCGCCGUCCGCAGCCCCGGCUGAACACUGGAAUCACCUGGGGGAACUUAGCAAAAUGCCGGGGUCCCACACCCGCGGUUCGGAUUUCAGCCGGCUGGGUGCAGCCCGGGCAUCCCAGGGGUUCGUCCGUUUGUUUUUAGCUCCCCAGGUGAUUCUAAGGGGCUGCAACUUUGAGAACCACUGGCAGGAGGAAGGGGAAAGCCACAGCUGUGGAAGGUAGAAGCCACUAGCGACCUGCCAUUCCCUCCCAAAGAAGAGCCACGCAGGGGUGGGGGGCGGUGGACCAGCAUCAGGGAGGCCGGGGAGACCCACUGCCGGGACAGUGACCACCUGGGUUUCCUUUCCGCCGGUGCGUUCGGCUGGACGGACACCGGCUGCGGAAAGACGCGCGGAAAGGGGACUCCUCAGGAACCCCAACUCUCCGGACGCCUGCAAAACGCUUCGGAUUGGGCCCAUUUUCCUGUCCCAGUGGAGAUGUUUCCCAGAAGGAUGUAGAAUGCUCAAGCCAGGAGAAGACACAGGACUGAUUCAAGGCUGUGGGUAACAUCAAGUUAAGACCAACUCGAGCUGGUUUACAACCACGGGACUAGAUGUUUCUUGGCUCCAUUCCAGAUGUGAGGGCUAGCGUAAACUCCCAUGGAUGAGGUUCAUCCUGUUUUGGCAAAAUUCUGUUGGGUAAAUUCAAAGAGUGAGAGAGUCUGUUCCUCUACCCUGUUCUUCACAACCGUAGAUGAUCCCUAAUGAGCAUUUUAACUACAUUCUUUCAACAUCCUGUCAUCCUUGAGAAGUAUCUAUAUAGUUCAAGUUACAGCAUGUUAUCAUCUCAGAACACUGGAGAAAGAAAAAACCUCGUCAAGAGACGAAACACCAAGAAAUAAAAUGAGACAAUUUUUCCAGGAGAGAUUCAUGUUUCAGGUUUCUCAACCAUCUGCACUUGACCGUUGACCACACGGGUCAGCGGCUGGGCUGGGUCAGCCACGCCCACCCACGAUGGCGAGUCUGCCCACGGCUUUCAGAAAGGAGAUCCCCAACGGGACCAAGCUCUGUGUGCACCUCCCUCCAGCCCUCUGUUCUCCUGUGUGCCCUUUAUUAAUCUUUUCUUCCUCCCAAAGAGAUGUCCCGAGGGCUGACAGUGGGCCACUCACCAUGCUGGAUCCUGGAGAUGCAGCCAUAAAGAAGACAGAUGUGACCCAGGCCCACAUCAUCGAGUUUUCUAGCAGGGAGGACUGCAUAAUUAAUCAUCAAUAAAUCACUUCAAUUAUGAGUGCUCUGUAGGAGACUCACAGGGUGAUAGGAGAGUGAAUGAGGGCACUUGACCCUGCACUGGGGACUGCCUUAAGAAAAUGAGGUCUGAGCCCAGGCCCAAAGGAUACCCAGUGGUGAGCCAGGCAAAGAAAGUAGAGGGGUCUCCCUGUUCCCUAGUUGGCCUCUUUACCCCUUCUGUCCGCCACCCAAGUACCCCUGUCCCCGCUUGGCAGCUCGGGCUGUUGACUCCACACUGACCUUGCUCAAUGCACGUGGUGCUGACAGCUCCACAGCCCAGGCCUGGACAGUUGCCUCUGUUCUUGUCUGUGUCCGACCUUGGCCUGGGUCAUUUCCCACCCCACUUCUCCCGUAUUGGUGCUGACAGCUCACAGGAUCCCCACCCAGCAGGGUAGCAAGAUAUGUGAUGGCAUCACUUUUCUUCGGUUAUUAGAAAGCACUUCUUUCCAAACAACUGUGUUUUGCUUGCAGGACAAGAGCUCAGGGCUCAAUGCAGGGUUUCUGUUUGUGGUACAGUCAGCGGUUGUAUGGGAAACCCUCCUAGCAGAGCUGUGUUCUGUUGGUGCCAAGCACCCCGCUAGGUCUCGGUGGCGUGGGGAGUGGGACCAUGCUUGCUGGCUCAGGUCAGGUGGCAUCUUGCUGAUGGCCUCAUUCAGGCUGACGGUGACUGGAGUGAGGGAUCCCACACGCUUCUCUCCAGGUUAGACACGCAGCUGCUGGAUUCCUCUCUCACUCUCAAUAAAAUCAGUUGUUUUGCUAACUGGACUACAGCUUUUUUUCC